GGCCUGCGCGGAAGAUGUAACGGGGCUAAACCAUGCACCGAAGCUGCGGCAGCGACACUGUGUGUUGUUGGGUAGGGGAGCGUUCUGUAAGCCUGUGAAGGUGUGUCGUGAGGCAUGCUGGAGGUAUCAGAAGUGCGAAUGCUGACAUAAGUAACGAUAAAGCGGGUGAAAAGCCCGCUCGCCGGAAGACCAAGGGUUCCUGUCCAACGUUAAUCGGGGCAGGGUGAGUCGACCCCUAAGGCGAGGCCGAAAGGCGUAGUCGAUGGGAAACGGGUUAAUAUUCCCGUACUUGGUGUUACUGCGAAGGGGGGACGGAGAAGGCUAUGUUGGCCGGGCGACGGUUGUCCCGGUUUAAGCGUGUAGGUGUGUGUUCCAGGUAAAUCCGGUUCACUUUAACACUGAGGCGUGACGACGAGGCACUACGGUGCUGAAGCAACAAAUGCCCUGCUUCCAGGAAAAGCCUCUAAGCAUCAGGUAACAUCAAAUCGUACCCCAAACCGACACAGGUGGUCAGGUAGAGAAUACCAAGGCGCUUGAGAGAACUCGGGUGAAGGAACUAGGCAAAAUGGUGCCGUAACUUCGGGAGAAGGCACGCUGACACGUAGGUGAAGUGAUUUACUCAUGGAGCUGAAGUCAGUCGAAGAUACCAGCUGGCUGCAACUGUUUAUUAAAAACACAGCAC
Molecule: ribosomal RNA, 682 nt
Filed under: Salmonella enterica subsp. enterica
Lineage: Bacteria; Pseudomonadati; Pseudomonadota; Gammaproteobacteria; Enterobacterales; Enterobacteriaceae
Description: bacterial LSU rRNA
Rfam family: Bacterial large subunit ribosomal RNA
Source: RNAcentral